Molecule: ribosomal RNA, 253 nt
Filed under: uncultured bacterium
Lineage: Bacteria
Description: partial 16S ribosomal RNA
Rfam family: Bacterial small subunit ribosomal RNA
Source: RNAcentral
UACGGGGGGGGCAAGCGUUGUUCGGAAUUACUAGGCGUAAAGGGCUCGUAGGCGGCCAACUAAGUCAUACGUGAAAUCCCUCGGCUUAACCGGGGAACUGCGUCUGAUACUGGAUGGCUUGAGAUUGGGAGAGGGAUGCGGAAUUCCAGGUGUAGCGGUGAAAUGCGUAGAUAUCUGGAGGAACACCGGUGGCGAAGGCGGCAUCCUGGACCGGCAUUGACGCUGAGGCGCGAAAGCCAGGGGAGCAAACGGG